RNAcentral lists this ribosomal RNA (324 nucleotides) under uncultured eukaryote. RNAcentral describes it as "partial 18S ribosomal RNA". It matches the Rfam family "Eukaryotic small subunit ribosomal RNA", at positions 1470 to 1796 of the family's 1831-position model. The record is from RNAcentral.
CCCUUAGACGUUCUGGGCCGCACGCGCGCUACACUGACCAGUGCAACAAGCAUCCGUCCUUGGCCGACAGGCUCGGGCAAUCUUUGAACGCUGGUCGUGAUGGGGAUAGACUUUUGCAAUUUUUGGUCUUCAACGAGGAAUUCCUAGUAAACGCAAGUCAUCAGCUUGCAUUGAUUACGUCCCUGCCCUUUGUACACACCGCCCGUCGCACCUACCGAUCGAAGGUAAUGAUGAGCCCUCAGGAUUGUGGCCUCGUCGCGUCAGCGUCUUGGCUGCGAGAAUCUGUGCAAAUCCCUACCUUUAGAGGAAGGUGAAGUCGUAACA